Molecule: long non-coding RNA, 292 nt
Organism: Limanda limanda (common dab)
Lineage: Eukaryota; Metazoa; Chordata; Actinopteri; Pleuronectiformes; Pleuronectidae
Exons: 3
Source: RefSeq, a predicted model, not a curated record
AACAAAGAGGCGUUAGGCUGCUGAGACGCUGAAAGUCCGGAUUUAAAGUGCAGAAAAUUAAGCCAUUGAAUCUGCCUGUCCAUGACGUACAAAGACACACUAUGAGCCAGUAUGAUCCGACCAGACCUUACAUCAGCAUUGAGGAGUUGUCGGAGAAGAGAGAGGCUGAUUGAAGCGGGACAGAUGACAUGGAUCCAUCCUUCCACAGCCAGGAGCGCACCGACCUGUGUCCCACACUUCAUAUAAGACUGGAAGCUACACUGGAUCUCACAGCUACACACCACAGACGUCU